GACGAACGCUGGCGGCGUGCCUAAUACAUGCAAGUAGAACGCUGAAGAGAGGAGCUUGCUCUUCUUGGGUGAGUUGCGAACGGGUGAGUAACGCGUAGGUAACCUGCCUUGUAGCGGGGGAUAACUAUUGGAAACGAUAGCUAAUACCGCAUAACAAUGGAUGACACAUGUCAUUUAUUUGAAAGGGGCAAUUGUUCCACUACAAGAUGGACCUGCGUUGUAUUAGCUAGUAGGUGAGGUAAUGGCUCACCUAGGCGACGAUACAUAGCCGACCUGAGAGGGUGAUCGGCCACACUGGGACUGAGACACGGCCCAGACUCCUACGGGAGGCAGCAGUAGGGAAUCUUCGGCAAUGGGGGCAACCCUGACCGAGCAACGCCGCGUGAGUGAAGAAGGUUUUCGGAUCGUAAAGCUCUGUUGUAAGUCAAGAACGGGUGUGAGAGUGGAAAGUUCACACUGUGACGGUAGCUUACCAGAAAGGGACGGCUAACUACGUG
This 497-nucleotide ribosomal RNA is filed under the name uncultured bacterium. RNAcentral's name for it is "partial 16S ribosomal RNA". It matches the Rfam family "Bacterial small subunit ribosomal RNA", at positions 28 to 507 of the family's 1533-position model. The record is from RNAcentral.